ACGCUCGACACCUACUGGAGGCAGCAGUGGGGAAUAUUGCACAAUGGGGGAAACCCUGAUGCAGCGACGCCGCGUGAGUGAAGAAGUAUUUCGGUAUGUAAAGCUCUAUCAGCAGGGAAGAAAAUGACGGUACCUGAGUAAGAAGCCCCGGCUAACUACGUGCCAGCACGCCGCGGUAAUCUGAGCGGGCUGGACAGGC
This 199-nucleotide ribosomal RNA is filed under the name uncultured bacterium. RNAcentral's name for it is "partial 16S ribosomal RNA". It matches the Rfam family "Bacterial small subunit ribosomal RNA", at positions 328 to 538 of the family's 1533-position model. The record is from RNAcentral.